GACAGAGGGUGCAAACGUUGCUCGGAAUCACUGGGCGUAAAGGGCGUGUAGGCGGGUAGGCAAGUCGGGGCGUGAAAUCCCUGAGCUCAACUCAGGAACUGCACUCGAAACUGCUUAUCUUGAGUGCCGGAGAGGAAAGCGGAAGUACCUGGUGUAGAGGUGAAAUUCGUGAGAUAUCAGGUGGAACACCAGUGGCGAAGGCGG
RNAcentral lists this ribosomal RNA (204 nucleotides) under uncultured bacterium. RNAcentral describes it as "partial 16S ribosomal RNA". It matches the Rfam family "Bacterial small subunit ribosomal RNA", at positions 524 to 724 of the family's 1533-position model. The record is from RNAcentral.